Molecule: long non-coding RNA, 637 nt
Filed under: Mytilus galloprovincialis (Mediterranean mussel)
Lineage: Eukaryota; Metazoa; Mollusca; Bivalvia; Mytilida; Mytilidae
Source: RNAcentral
UUUUUUAAUUUAAAAAAUGAACGGAAACCUUGUACUUUUGACGGUGUUAGUGCUGACGUACAAGAAUAUUUUAUUCAAUUUGAAGCAGUUAGUCUGUGGAAUAUCUGGAAUUUAUCUUCAAUUUGUAAUAAAUUUAAGAAAAGAAGCACGAAUUUAUUUUACGUCUUCUUACUCCUGUUCAGUUGCAGAGCUAUGAUUUUUUGAAAAGUUUAUUAUUGCAACGCUUUAAUCCGACGGAAAAGAUAGCUUUUUUAUAAAUUUCAACUGAAAAGUUUUGUCAGAUGAAUCUGUGUUCAAUUUUGGACAUAGUUUCAAAACUUUUUUGUCAUCGUGCAUAUCAAAAUCAAUUUCACAGUAUGCAUUUGUAUUUUAUGGAUCUUUUUAUUGGCAAAUUAGAGAAGGAAAUAGGAAAAGCAUCCUAAAAGUUUUGAUGAUGCUAUAUUUUGGCUACAGAGUUUUAGUCGUUUAAUUUGAUAGUUGAACCUGUUGAAUGUGAAAUUAAGGAAAGUGAAGAAAGUUUAGAUUUAGUUGUUUAAAGUCUGGUUUUGAUCAAAUUGUCAAAGUUCUUAAAAAGCUGGUCUAUAAGAAGUUUAAAGCUAAAAAAAUGUUAUAAUUGUUCGGUAGUUAGACAUAUCAG